This 64-nucleotide transfer RNA is filed under the name Staphylinoidea sp. 13 KM-2017. Its description in RNAcentral is "tRNA-Ile". The record is from RNAcentral. Lineage: Eukaryota; Metazoa; Arthropoda; Insecta; Coleoptera.
AAUGAAGUGCCUGAUUAAAAGGGUUAUUUUGAUAGAAUAGAUUAUGUGGUAUCCACCUUCAUUA